RNAcentral lists this long non-coding RNA (380 nucleotides) under Gossypium barbadense (sea-island cotton). Its description in RNAcentral is "long non-coding RNA (GBAR_LNC019178)". Lineage: Eukaryota; Viridiplantae; Streptophyta; Magnoliopsida; Malvales; Malvaceae. The record is from RNAcentral.
UUUGCUUCUUGCAUCCGUUGAAUCAUUCUUUCCAAAUUAGGUAACACAUUCAUACCUAGAUGGAGUUUUGACUUAAUAGCCCUAUUUCAUUUCCUAUUUCCCACCAAAAGUUUUUGGCUUGGUUCACGUAUUAGAAACUCCUAUAGUUGCAAGUAACAUUCUGAUUUUCUCAUUGGUACUUAGACUUGUUUACACAAGGCCAUUAGUAAAUGUGGAAAUAGCAAUUCAUCAUUGCUUUUCCUAACAUAAAAUAACAUGUUCUGGUAUAUCCACAUACCAACAUAGAUUCUUUCUUUUUGUUGUAUGGCAUACAACACCGUAGCUCAAAAUGUAUUUAUGUUGGUCAUAUUAGAGGUUCAAUAAACUUGAUUAAUUAUAAA